AUGAAGAAAGCAAUAGAAACAUACUAAACGAUCAAGUGCUAAGCUAACGGAAUGGGUCAGGUCAAUCACAUCAUUCUCCUAAUGAUGUGAUCCUGUUAAUCAAAUGACAACUCAUGUCUAUGGUUAGGAAACUUAACCAUCUUGUAACACCCAUGAUGCGGCUAUAUCUCGCACGUGUCAGAGCACGACUUAGAGGCAUAACCGCAUAGUAGGCAUGUCGCAAGAGGGAUAAUCUUUACACAUCCCAUGUACUGAAUAAGAAAGGGAUAAAGAGUUGGCUUACAAUCGGCACUUCAAACAAUACAUAAAUAUCAUACAACAUCCAAAAUACAAUCAAGGUCCGACUACGGAACCAAAAUAAAGAAAGACAACCCCUAAUGCUAGAUCCCCGAUCACCCCAACUGGGCUCCACUAUCGAUCGAAAGGAAAUGAAACAACACAACGAACACGAUCUUCAUCGAGCUCCCACUUGAGCUCUAUUGCAUCAUCUGGACUGGUGUCACUGGCACCUGCAACUGUUUGGAAGUAUCUGUGAGUCACGAGGACUCAGCAAUCUCACACCCGCGAGAUCAAGACUAUUUAAGCUUAUGGGUAGGAAAGGAUAGUGAGGUGGAGCUGCAGCAAGCACUAGCAUAUAUGGUGGCUACCUUAUGCAAAAAAGAGCAAGAAGAGAAGCAAAGCACGGUCGAGAAGCUAAUAAGUGAUCAAGAAGUGAUCCUGAAGCUACUUACGUUCAAGCAUAACACGAGACCGUGUUCACUUCCCGGACUCCGCCGGAAAGAGACCAUCACGGCUACACACGUGGUUGAUGCAUUUUAAUUAAGUUAAGUGUCAAGUUCUCUACAACUGGAUAUUAACAAAUUCCCAUCUGCCCAUAACCGCGGGCACGACUUUCGAAAGUUCAAACCCUGCAGGGGUGUCCCAACUUAGCCCAUCACAAGCUCUCACGGUCAACGAAGGAUAUUCCUUCUCCCAGGAAGACCCGAUCAGACUCGGAAUCCCGGUUACAAGACAUUUCGACAAUGGUAAAACAAGACCAGCAAAGCCACCCGAAUGUGCUGACAAAUCCCGAUAGGAGCUGCACAUAUCUCGUUCUCAAGGCACACCGGAUUGUCCAAGAUUCCGGUAGGCCAACCCAGAGUUGCCCCUGGUGGCCACCGGCUGCUGACAGGUUGGACCAACACUCAGAGGAGCACUGACCCGGGGGUUUAAAAUAAAGAUGACCCUCGGGCUCCGGAAACCCGAGGGAAAAAGGCUUAGGUGGCAAAUGGUAAACCAAGGUUGGGCUUGCUGGAGGAGUUUUAUUCAAAGCAAACUGUCAAGGGGGUCCCAUUCCCCCAACUGCGUAAGGAACGCAAAAUCAAGGAACAUAACAUCGGUACGACGGAAACUAGGCCAGCAAAAGUGGAACAAAACACCAGGCAUAAGGCCGAGCCUUCCACCCUUUACCAAGUAUAUAGUUGCAUUAAAGUAAACAAGAUACAAUAAUGAUAUCCCAACAAAACCCAUGUUCCAACAAGGAACAAACUUCAAUCUUCACCUGCAACUAGAAACGCUAUAAGAGAGGCUGAGCAAAGCGGUAACAUAGUCAAACAACAUUUGCUAGGAAAGGUGGGUUAGAGGUUUGACAUGGCAAUAUGGGAGGCAUGAUAAAGCAAGUGGUAGGUAUCGCGGCAUAGCAAUAGAGCGAGCAACUAGCAAGCAAAGAUAGAAGUGAUUUCGAGGGUAUGGUCAUCUUGCCUGAGAUCCCGCAAGGAAAAGAACGAGUCCAUGAAGAAGACAAACAGACAUAGUCGAACGGAUCCUCACAAACGCGACAUUAUCAGAACUAACCCGAAGAAGCAACACCGGAAAGAAGCAAACAACAUAGUAAACAACCAUCACAUAACAUGGCAUGAUGCACAAUCAAGUAUGAUGCAUGUCCGGUUUAAUGAGGCAUGGCAUGGCAAAGUGCACAAGCAAAACUACAAGUUAAGUGGAGCUCAAUAUGCAACGAGUUGCAUAUUGACGAAACACCACAUGACUUAUUUAGUUCACUCUCGUUUAUGUACCCCAUAAUAUUAAAUGUUGGUUAGCAUGGCAAGAGGUGGAGAAAAUGAAAACUACCCAUCUAGGCAAGUUUAAAUGAGGCCGUAACAACAAACAACAAGUCCGAAAACUCCUCAUGUGCAUAUUUUAGGUUUUGGUACUGUUCUGCCCUAAACCAUAUUUUAGAGUUGUUAAACACGCAAGAAGAGGGCACCAUGUUAAACUAGGCAUUUUUCUAUCCAAUUUACAUAUAAAGUUUAUUAAGUUUGGAGCUACGAUUAAUUAGUUAUGAAUUAAAUAAUUUUAGCAAGUUAUUUAAGCAAAUUUAAACAAACAACAUUUUAAACAUGUUAAACAUGGAGGAAAGUAGCAUAUUAUUAACGUACACAAAAUUCUAAGUAUUUUAUACAUAUAUAAAACAUUUUAAACCGAUGCACGGUUGUGGAGUUAUUAUAUGCAUGAACAUGAGGGACAUUUUUGUAAAAAGGCAGUCUCAGGAUAAAUAGCAAAAUUUGCAGGGCUCGGAAAAAAUAUGAAUGGGCCGAAUUGCGGCAUACCGCAGCAGCCCAGGAGAAUUUGGCCCAAGUGGUUGAGUGACUCCGUGUGCAAAAAUUAAAGAAAGGGGCGCCUGGGACUCGAACCACGGACGUCCUGAUAUGUCCUCAAGGGAACAGCCACUAGGCUAUGUGAUCUGUUUGUGGAAAAAUAUAGUGGCCAAACUAAAUAACCUCUACAAGCUGGGACGGAUCUAGUAAAAAAACGAAAGUUUCAGGUAUGAGAGGAAGUUGCUCACAACGAGGAAAUAAAGAGGCCUGCAGCCAUGGCGACAGGACCUGGCGGGGAAGGUGCGAGGCUGGACUGGGCCAGAGCUCGAUGUGGAUGCCGAGGGGAACCGGAUCCGAUGGGCGGCGCCUUGAUCCGAAGAAGAGGACGGUCGUGGCGUCCCUAGUCGAAGGACAGAGAGAGCAGAGAGAGACGUGAGCUUCAGAAAACAGAGGACCGGAGGCAGGAGAGGGAGGGUCGGCCGGAGAUGGUGGCCCGACCUGGACUCAAAGCGGCGAAGCAUCUGCAAGGAAGGGCAGUGGCCAUCUGCUCGACGUGGUCCCGUGGGUGCUCAGGCCUUAGGGCUUCGGGGUGCCAUGUCGCCGGGUUCCUGUAAGAGACAGAGGGAGCGAUGAGUGACAGAGAGAGAAAGAAGAGAGAGGGAGAGGAAGAAGGACAUGGAAAGGAAGGAAGGGCAGUGCGGGGCUCAUCUGCUGGGGGUGCUCGACGGCGGAGGGAGCUCCGGUGCUGCGGCGGCC
This 3329-nucleotide long non-coding RNA is filed under the name Triticum aestivum (bread wheat). RNAcentral describes it as "long non-coding RNA (TAES_LNC010469)". Lineage: Eukaryota; Viridiplantae; Streptophyta; Magnoliopsida; Poales; Poaceae. The record is from RNAcentral.